RNAcentral lists this ribosomal RNA (250 nucleotides) under uncultured bacterium. RNAcentral's name for it is "partial 16S ribosomal RNA". It matches the Rfam family "Bacterial small subunit ribosomal RNA", at positions 355 to 621 of the family's 1533-position model. The record is from RNAcentral.
UGGGGAAUCUUGGACAAUGGACGAAAGUCUGAUCCAGCAAUUCUGCGUGCGGGAUGAAGGUCUAUGGAUUGUAAACCGCUUUUCUGAAGGAAGACGAAUGACGGUACUUCAGGAAUAAGCGACGGCUAACUUCGUGCCAGCAGCCGCGGUAAUACGAAGGUCGCAAGCGUUAUCCGGAGUUACUGGGCGUAAAGAGUGCGUAGAUGGUUUAGUAAGUCUGAUUUUAAAGACUCUGUCUCAAGCAGAGGAA